AACGACUCUCGGCAACGGAUAUCUCGGCUCUCGCAUCGAUGAAGAACGUAGCGAANUGCGAUACUUGGUGUGAAUUGCAGAAUCCCGUGAACCAUCGAGUCUUUGAACGCAAGUUGCGCCCGAAGCCAUUAGGUUGAGGGCACGUCUGCCUGGGCGUCANGCA
This 163-nucleotide ribosomal RNA is filed under the name Heptapleurum macrophyllum. Its description in RNAcentral is "Schefflera macrophylla 5.8S ribosomal RNA". It matches the Rfam family "5.8S ribosomal RNA". From Rfam's summary of the family: 5.8S ribosomal RNA (5.8S rRNA) is a component of the large subunit of the eukaryotic ribosome. It is transcribed by RNA polymerase I as part of the 45S precursor that also contains 18S and 28S rRNA. The record is from RNAcentral. Lineage: Eukaryota; Viridiplantae; Streptophyta; Magnoliopsida; Apiales; Araliaceae.